CUCACAUUUCUUUCUGUCUCAAUAUAUCCUACUAUAAGCUAUGAUCCCCUUCAAUUUCAUUAUAUUUGCUGUUACUUACCAAAUGUAGCAACUGCUAAUCUUCCAUUGUCUAUACGCUGGAAUUUUGUUAUUUAUUUGCUUCAUUAAUAAUCUCAAUUGUUCAACUAUUAUUCUUGUACAUUCAGAAACUUGGCGAAGGUGUGAAGGGCGUGUAUAUCUCAGUGGAUGUUGACUGUAUGGAUCCAGCAUUUGCUCCUGGAG
Molecule: unclassified non-coding RNA, 261 nt
Filed under: Hevea brasiliensis (rubber tree)
Lineage: Eukaryota; Viridiplantae; Streptophyta; Magnoliopsida; Malpighiales; Euphorbiaceae
Source: RNAcentral